Molecule: non-coding RNA, 225 nt
Filed under: Terribacillus aidingensis
Lineage: Bacteria; Bacillati; Bacillota; Bacilli; Caryophanales; Bacillaceae
Description: T-box sequence
Rfam family: T-box leader
About the family: Uncharged tRNA acts as the effector for transcription antitermination of genes in the T-box leader family.
Source: RNAcentral
AUGAUAGCAAUGAAUGGAUUAUAGUAGUGCAUGUUCUCCCUGAAACAGAGAGCUGACGGAUGGUGUGAGUCAGAACAAAGAACAGCAUGAAUUACGAUCCAGGAGCUUUCUUCUUCUAACCGGAUGGUGAGGGGAAGACGGUUAAUAGCCGUUAUGAGUAAUGAGAUAUUGACAUAUUAACUAUGUCGAUAAUUAGGGUGGUACCGCGUAAAUCACGUCCCUGCU